Numida meleagris (helmeted guineafowl) is the source of this 2674-nucleotide long non-coding RNA. RefSeq lists it as uncharacterized. The record is from RefSeq and is a predicted model, not a curated record. Lineage: Eukaryota; Metazoa; Chordata; Aves; Galliformes; Numididae. The transcript has 2 exons.
AAUCCUGCCCUGAAUAAUUGUUCUGAAAUGUUCUAAAAGGAACUAAAUUUCCUUCUCGAUAGCCUCAGUAAUACUUUGAAGAGAGAAGAAUGAAGGUGAGGACACGCAUUACAUUCUGUAGAGAAUCACACAAUAUCCUGAGUUGGAAGGGACCUACAAGGAAAACCAAGUCCAGCUCGCGGCUCCACACAGCACCACCCAAAUUUCAAACCCUAUGUCUGAGAGCAUUGUCCAAAUGCUUCUUUGAACUCUGGCAGAUUGGGCCCAUGACCUCGGACUGUUCCAUGCCUGACUGGCCUCUGGGGAAGAACUUUUUCCUAACACCCAACCUGACCUUCCCUUGAUACAGCUUUGUCCAGAGAGAGUGAGAGACCCAGACAGCAGUAAGAGCAAGAGGAGGAAGGGAGAGAGAGGAUAAAAGGAAUGUGAUGGUAUCUAUCAGCAGCAUCAAACCAAUAGAGGACUUCUUGGAAAAGAGAAGAAAAUCUUUGUGACAAGAUGUCUGUUUCAAAUUAUACUUAUCUGAACAUUGGUGAUGUUGCAUGCCUACAACACCAGGGCUAGAAAUAGUAUUUAAAUUACUUGACCUCUAAAAGCUACGGACGUGAAGAAAGAACGUUCACCUCCCCAUGCAGCUGUCAGGCAAACACUUCUCAAGGGCAGCAGACCCAAGCCUCUAAGUGUUGCAUCACCUAUGCCAACAGCAGUUUUCCUCCCGCCAGCUCACUCCAUCUUGUUAGGUCUCUUAGUCGCUCAUCACAGCUCCCUCUUGACUCAUGAACCAAUUACGGGUUGUGUACACUUCUGCGGCCACAGUGGUUUCCCCUCCUUUCCAUCCUGACAUACUUCAAAUGCCUGCUCUAGAUAAGGCGCUUGGAACUACUUCUUGUUAGCACUUAGCCAUGCUGAGAACUGCCAGCCUACUGGAUGCCCUGUCCUUCUCAGCCCUCAACUGUGUUUUUCCUCUUCCUGCAGCUAUUUGCUCUAAUAGCAUUUUGUGAAGGACUUUUUGUCAGGUAUUUGUCAUGGACUUUCAGAAAGUCCAAGUGCUCAGUAUUGCCUGGCUCACCGCAGAACAAUCUUGUCCAUGCCUCUAAGGUCUUUGGAGAAUGGGAGUGUUUUAUUUUUGAUUUAAACUCCUGCUUUCUCUUGCAAGUUUCCUUCAUAUUCAGAUGAAGAAGCGAUGCAAAAUUUCACAGGAGGGAAAAGGUGCAUAGCACAGGUAGAUGAGAUACAGAGGAUGAUUAUGCAGGAAUCCUGUGCAACUUGAAUUGUAGGAAAGUCAUCUCAUCUCCUGUGCUGGAAUGUCUCAUGCUGAUGGGUGCAACCCUUUCCCAGUGACUGUGAAAAUCUUGAUAAGGAAAGUGACGAGACACUCAGUGCAGCUAGAGCUCUAAGACUUGGGUUUGCCCUCCCACGCAUUUUGGGUGGGCAGGCAAACCACAGACUGUCAUCUGUGAAGUAAGAAAGCAUUGGGUACAUUUAAUUACUACAUUAGCUCUUGCUAACACUUUCAGUGCCAAGAAUUGGUUGAGAAGGGCUUAGGGUUGUUGUUGUUAGCACUUUGUUUUUACCAGGACAUAGCUUUCAGGGUAGGAGCUCAUGUAUCUGAGAGCUCAAGUCAACUCAUUAAUAGGCACUGCAAUAAACAGACCAGGAAACAGUUGUGGCAGAGCAAGGAGCUGAGUGGCUUUAGUUCAUUCUCAUACAUUUGUUCUAAUUAUUUCUUAAGCUGUCUUUUCACACUCACAAGGUUUUAUCUUUCGAAGUCUUCUACUUCCAAUAGCCUUAUUUCUUCAGAAGAAGAAGAAAAUAAAGCAAAUAAAGGAUCUUCCCAGUUACAAAAAUGUCUCCAGCCCUUGGGAGUUAGGAACCACAGAAAUCCACUCUGAGGAUCUGUGCCUAAGAAUUCAUUUUAACCAGUCCUGUACGUUGUUCACUGCCCAGUCCACUUAGCAGCAGGUGACUGGCCACAGCUCCACCAUAGCUUCUUUUCAGAAGCCCAAAAGACUGAUCCAAAUUCUACAGGGACAACAGCAGCCAGCUCCUGACUUUCACCUUUCCCACGGGUGCAGCCUCUCCAGGAGAUAAAUCGAGCUCACCCCACUGCCUGAGUCUAGGUGAAGGUACAACUGUGUGAGCUGCUCAGAUGUGAGCUGCUGGCUCUCAGGAUGUGUGGGCCUCCAGGAGCUUGCCUGGGCUGUGCUUGGCCAGAGGCAUCACACAGCAAAGUUUUGCCUGCCACCAUGGUAAGUCACGUGGCCCAUUGACCUAAAAAGUUUGGGCACUGGUGCCUUACACAAGAAAGGGAAAUCAUAAUCUCAUUUGGCAGUUUCCCUUUGAGCACAAGCUGAGGCAUCCAGAAUGGGUACAUUGCUGUUCCGAUGUGAUCUAGUUACAUAUUUGGGUAAGCAAAUACCUGAAUCAAAACAAGCUUUGUGACAGAUUUGGGAUCUUUCAGUUAUUUUUCCGUAGUUGGAAUACCUGAAAUGAGUCAGUGCAAAGUCACUAUUGCUUAAUGCUAGAAAAAAAAAAAAAAAGACAAAAAACAACACAAAAUAGUCGAGAGCUUUUCUGUUAGUCAGCAUUUCCUUCCUGAUCCCACAACAGGAACCGAGGUGUGUGCGACACUGCUGCACUCAGCCCUCCCCGCGCACACUUACCUCCUGCUCAC